CGGGGGGAUGAUCCCGAGAUAGGAAGUGCCGUCAGAUGCGAGAACUGACGAAAGCCUUUCUCUGGCUGACC
Small nucleolar RNA from Varanus komodoensis (Komodo dragon), 71 nucleotides. Lineage: Eukaryota; Metazoa; Chordata; Lepidosauria; Squamata; Varanidae. The record is from Ensembl.